GUCGAAGUGGUGGAAUUGGUAGACACGCUAUCUUGAGGGGGUAGUGGGCAAUCCCGUGGGGGUUCGAGUCCCCCCUUCGACACCA
RNAcentral lists this transfer RNA (85 nucleotides) under Desulfovibrionales bacterium. Its description in RNAcentral is "tRNA-Leu". It matches the Rfam family "tRNA". Rfam says of the family: Transfer RNA (tRNA) molecules are approximately 80 nucleotides in length. Their secondary structure includes four short double-helical elements and three loops (D, anti-codon, and T loops). The record is from RNAcentral. Lineage: Bacteria; Pseudomonadati; Thermodesulfobacteriota; Desulfovibrionia; Desulfovibrionales.